CUGCAAGUCCUCGCCUGAUACCUGGUAAUAUACAUUUAAUUUAGAAUCAUUGAUAGACACAUUGUAUAUUUUAUCCAUUCAUCUUGAGUUUACAAAUGUUUACACAAGGUAACAAGUAUUUCCAUGUUGUUAAGUUUCAAGUGCAACAAGGCAAGUCACAAUUAAGGGUUGGAUGAUCACCUUUAAGGGCUCUGAGGGCAUCACACCAACAUUUGCAAUUGGACUUGCUGCUAUGUUUGCAACCUACUACAUUUUCAGCCUUCAGUAUCAAGAUGAGACAGCCUGCCCUCUGGAAUUCAUUCAGAGGCACUUCAUUGAUAUAAAUCAAGAGAGAGGAACAAAUGCCAAAAUCAUCAGACAAGAUUGUCUCUAAGAAGAAAGGUGUGAUCGUCCAGAAGUCGUCUUCUGCAGUUAAAUACACACGUGGCCAUGCUACUGAAGAAUCUCCUUGACUUUUUAUUGGAACUUCAUAUAGAUCGUGGCAGCACUGGAAUAAUGCUGCAGAGAGGAACAGCGGCUACUAAAGUGAUGAUCGUCUCUUCUGGAUCCACAAGAACUAAGAUGUAAAAACACAAACCUACCUCACAGGACAAUUUUAAGAGGUAACCUGCAAGUCUAGCUUGCAGUGGCACAUGUGCCUAUACGGUUUCAUCCUAAAUGUUUUUUAUGCUUAUUAUUGAUACAUCCUGACAAAAUGUUCUACUGUACUAUAAUAGUUUCAAAAUGGCCUUAGGUAUGUUUUCAAAAAGUAAACUAUAGGUUAUGCCCUUCACAUAGGGGCAGUCUCUGACGAGCAAUUUAAGAACGUACGUUUAUUGCCAUAGUCUAAAGCAAGAAACUACUGUUUCUGUUUACUACUAGAAAGCUUUUUCAACAUUGUCCAACAGGAUUUAUUUUCUUUCCUUUUUUGUAUUCAUGUUGACAUUGACAUUUCUCUUUGAAAUAAAGGUGUUUGAUUUGAAAGUUUUUGUUGCUUAUUUUGCAUAAUAUUCACAAUAAUGCAUAUCUUAAGCAGUUGUCUUUAGCCCUGGGAAUUCAUUGGGCAAGUUCAUGGGAGACUGAUAUUUUAAAUAUCAAUGAAGAAUUUUUAGAGACUAAAUUUAUGUUAUUUCAAAAA
Paramisgurnus dabryanus is the source of this 1117-nucleotide long non-coding RNA. RefSeq lists it as uncharacterized. The record is from RefSeq and is a predicted model, not a curated record. Lineage: Eukaryota; Metazoa; Chordata; Actinopteri; Cypriniformes; Cobitidae.